RNAcentral lists this ribosomal RNA (468 nucleotides) under uncultured bacterium. RNAcentral's name for it is "partial 16S ribosomal RNA". It matches the Rfam family "Bacterial small subunit ribosomal RNA", at positions 28 to 507 of the family's 1533-position model. The record is from RNAcentral.
GACGAACGCUGGCGGCGUGCUUAACACAUGCAAGUCGAACGGAAAGGCCCUGCUUUUGUGGGGUGCUCGAGUGGCGAACGGGUGAGUAACACGUGAGUAACCUGCCCUUGACUUUGGGAUAACUUCAGGAAACUGGGGCUAAUACCGGAUAGGAGCUACUGCUGCAUGGUGGGGGUUGGAAAGUUUCGGCGGUUGGGGAUGGACUCGCGGCUUAUCAGCUUGUUGGUGGGGUAGUGGCUUACCAAGGCUUUGACGGGUAGCCGGCCUGAGAGGGUGACCGGCCACAUUGGGCCUGAGAUACGGCCCAGACUCCUACGGGAGGCAGCAGUGGGGAAUAUUGCACAAUGGGCGGAAGCCUGAUGCAGCAACGCCGCGUGCGGGAUGACGGCCUUCGGGUUGUAAACCGCUUUCGCCUGUGACGAAGCGUGAGUGACGGUAAUGGGUAAAGAAGCACCGGCUAACUACGUG